This 253-nucleotide ribosomal RNA is filed under the name uncultured bacterium. Its description in RNAcentral is "partial 16S ribosomal RNA". It matches the Rfam family "Bacterial small subunit ribosomal RNA", at positions 524 to 776 of the family's 1533-position model. The record is from RNAcentral.
UACGAAGGGGGCUAGCGUUGCUCGGAAUCACUGGGCGUAAAGCGCACGUAGGCGGGUCGUUAAGUCAGGGGUGAAAUCCUGGAGCUCGACUCCAGAACUGCCUUUGAUACUGGCGAUCUCGAGUUCGGGAGAGGUGAGUGGAACUGCGAGUGUAGAGGUGAAAUUCGUAGAUAUUCGCAAGAACACCAGUGGCGAAGGCGGCUCACUGGCCCGAUACUGACGCUGAGGUGCGAAAGCGUGGGGAGCAAACAGG